Molecule: small nucleolar RNA, 108 nt
Filed under: Arabidopsis suecica
Lineage: Eukaryota; Viridiplantae; Streptophyta; Magnoliopsida; Brassicales; Brassicaceae
Description: snoR71
Rfam family: Plant small nucleolar RNA R71
About the family: R71 is a member of the C/D box family of snoRNAs containing the C (UGAUGA) and D (CUGA) box motifs. Multiple nearly identical copies of this snoRNA have been identified in Arabidopsis, and it is thought to function as a 2'-O-ribose methylation guide for 18S ribosomal RNA.
Source: RNAcentral
AAGCCAUGAUGAGGGCAUUGGUUGGUGUAACCCUUGAAACGCUCCCAUGCUUCACAGAAGCUUUCACCAAGUCUUCUGUGAGAAACCAGAAAUAUCAUUUCUGAGUCU